Molecule: long non-coding RNA, 865 nt
Filed under: Homo sapiens (human)
Lineage: Eukaryota; Metazoa; Chordata; Mammalia; Primates; Hominidae
Description: non-protein coding lnc-XRCC2-4:1
Source: RNAcentral
GGAUGAGAGAGCUGUCCCAUGGCUGGGCUGUUUUUACGUAUACUGGCUGCUUACAGGAUAUCACGCUGCUGAAUGACGUGUACUUGAAGACCAGCAGAGGGUGGUGGAUGUGCCUCUGCCCACGCUGUGUAAAGAUGGCGGCAGAGCGGACCCAACAGCACCCUUGGAGUCUACACAGGAAGAUAAAGUCAUGCAUGGAAUAUCUUCACAAACACAAUGAGAAUCUCAGAAGCUAUAGAAUGUCUGACACAUACAAAAAGAAAGAAAGAAAAGACAGAAAGAAAAGAAAGAAAGAGAAAGAAGAAAGAAAAAGAAAGAAAGAAAGAAAGAAAGAAAGAAAAGAAAGAAAGAAAGGAAAGAAAGAAAGAAAGAGAAAGAAAGAAAGACAGAGAAAGAAAGAAAGAAAUCUGAAUUCAGGACUAGAUCUAAAAUAAUAAAAAUCAAAAAUGAAUAUCUGACCCUAUGAACUUAAUUUUUGCCUAUCAAAGUAUUUUUCUGUUAGCUUGUUUUCUUUAAAAUAAAUUGAAUAAGUUAAAAGUCAGCAUGACCUAGUGAAGACUGUCAACCAUAGCUGCAUGUUAAAAUAACCUAGAGAGCUUUAGAAAGAAAAAACAGCAAGGCCUUUAACCUGCUCCCAGAAUUACCGAUUUCAUGGUCUGGAUGAGCUUAGCCAUUAGAAUUUUGACAAGGAAAUGAGUCUCCAUUUUCUCCUGUCAGAGAGAAAUAAUAUUUUUUAUCCUGGAUGGUCAUUAUAAUGAUCUAAGCAGCUAGAAUACUCUUGCCCAUGGCUUGCUUGCUCAUUUCUGCCAAAAAUUUUAUAAAAUAUUUGCUUCUCAAAGGUGCCCCACCUGUCACCAUAGCAAAG